GGAGUAUGGACCGUGUCUCAGUUCCAUUGUGGGGGACCUUCCUCUCAGAACCCCUACCCAUCGUCGCCUCGGUGGGCCGUUACCCCGCCGGCAAGCUAAUCAGACGCAUCCCCAUCCCUUACCGAUGAAUCUUUGCUCCUCAUCUGAUGCCAUCAAAGGAGAACAUAGAGUAUUAAUCCGACUUUCGCCGGGCUAUCCUCUAGUAAGGGGAAGGUUGGAUACGCGUUACUCACCCGUCGCGCCGGUCGCCAUCAAAGGAAGCAAGCUUCCUUCAUGCUGCCCCACGACUUGCAUGUGUUAAGCCUGUAGCUAGCGUUCAUC
RNAcentral lists this ribosomal RNA (321 nucleotides) under uncultured Prevotella sp. Its description in RNAcentral is "partial 16S ribosomal RNA". Lineage: Bacteria; Pseudomonadati; Bacteroidota; Bacteroidia; Bacteroidales; Prevotellaceae. The record is from RNAcentral.